AUUAAGUUGAGUUUGAUGAUGGCUCUGAAUGAACGCUAUUCAAAUGCCUGACACAUGCUAAUCGUACGUUUGUAGUUUAACAAUUGUUAACUACAAAAGUGGUGUACAGGUGAGUAAAUGGUGAAUUGGUUACCUUAAAGUGAGGGAUAAAAUACCUUAUAACAAAAGGAGUAAUCUGCUUUAAGAUAUUAGUUGUAUCUCGGGUAGGUAGUAGGAGAGGUAAUUGCUCAACUAGCCUAAUAUCCCGUAGUCGAGGCUGAAAGGUCGAUCGACCACAUUGGAUAUGAACAAAAUUCAAUGCAUGAUAGUACAGCAGUGAGGGAUAUUGGUCAAUAGCCGAAAGGCUGAACCAGCAAUUUGAAAGAAUGGCCUUCCGGUCUUAGCCGGUUUGAGGGGGAUAGAUUAUAUGUAAGAAAUUAUGUAUAAAGGGGUCCAAGCCUUAGGUCAAAAGCCUAGGAUUAAAGUUCUGAAUAGAAUAAUGAUAAUGACAAUUUUCUAAUUCAAGUGUCUUGACAAAUUCAUGUGCCAGCAGUCGCGGUAAUACAUGAUAGACUAGUGUUAUUCAUCUUUAAUGGGUUUAAAGGGUACCUAGACGGAAGUUCAAGCCUGCGAGGGGACUGAAUUUCUAGAGUUUUAUGUGAGAAGGGGAGUACUACUGAUGGAGAGAUGAAAUUUGAUGAUAUCUUUAGGACUGGUAAAGGCGAAGGCAACCUUUUAAGUAAAAACUGACGUUGAGGGACGAAGGCUUAGGUCACGAACAGGAUUAGAUACCCUAGUAGUCUUUGCAGAAAACGCUGAAUGCUAUAGGUUAGAAUUAAAAUUUUUGCCUAUAAAUGAAAAUGUAAGCAUUCCACCUCAAGAGUAAUUCGGCAACGUAGAAACUGAAAUCAUUAGACCGUUUCUUGAAACCAGUAGUGAAGUAUGUUAUUUAAUUCGAUGAUCCACGAAAAAUCUUACCAUAACUUGAAUAGCUGGUAAAAUAUAAAAAUUAUAAUUAUUUUAUAAACGAGUUAUUAAACCUGUCCUAAAAAAGGAAUACAGGAUAAUAAAUAACAGAUAAAAUUUAUCAUAUGAAUUUAUUUCAAAUAAGUAAAUAAGUCAUAUAUACCUUUGCUACAGGUGUUGCACGGCUGUCUUAAGUUAAUGUCGUGAGAUCAUGGUUAGAUCCAACAAUUAGCGUAAGCCCUUAGUUUAUUUAAAAAAAUAUAAAUUAUUAAUAUAUUUAUUAUAAAAAUAUUUAUUAUAAAAAUAUAUUAAGCAAAUAUUUUAAAUAUUUAAAUGUUUAAUGUUUUUAAUAAAUUUAAUAUUAGGAAUAAGAAGAGUAAUAUUUUAAAUAUUUAGGAACAUUAGGGAGGAAUGUUUUUAAUAUUUAGGAAUAUUUAGGAAAAGGUAAUAUUUUGAUGUACAAUAUUAAAUUUAAGAAAUAUUUUUAAUGUUUAGUAUUAAAUUAUUUGUAUUUAUAAAUAAAUAAAUUAGUUCACUAAGAAAAUGGCGUGUGAUAACCGGGAAUAAGACAAGUCAUCAUGGCCCUUCUAUCGUAAAAAAGUUAAUGUUAUGGGCUAUAGACGUGCCACAUAUGCCUUGACAAAGGGAUGCAAAAAUGUGAGUUUUAGCUAAUCCUACAAAAAAAGGAAAUAAAAAAUGGAUUGUAGUCUGAAAUUCGACUACAUGAAAAAGAAAUUACUAGUAAUCGUGUAUCACAAUGGCACGGUGAAUCUUAUCUCAGAUUGGUACUAACCACUCGUCAGGCGCUGAAAAUUGUGAGUGCAAUAAGUUUGGGGGAUUCAAAUAAAAAGUAUAAGCAACUGGGCUUAUGGCAUUUGAGAAUCUUUCUUCGUAUGCACAGCUUUGAUUAGUGUUAAGUCGAAAUAUGGUUCGUGUAGCGGAAGUUGCACGGGAAUGAUUAAUUAU
This 1911-nucleotide ribosomal RNA is filed under the name Orbilia oligospora. RNAcentral describes it as "SSU rRNA". It matches the Rfam family "Bacterial small subunit ribosomal RNA". The record is from RNAcentral. Lineage: Eukaryota; Fungi; Ascomycota; Orbiliomycetes; Orbiliales; Orbiliaceae.